GAUGAACGCUGGCGGCGUGCCUAAUACAUGCGAGUCGAGCGAACGGACGAGAAGCUUGCUUCUCUGAUGUUAGCGGCGGACGGGUGAGUAACACGUGGAUAACCUACCUAUAAGACUGGGAUAACUUCGGGAAACCGGAGCUAAUACCGGAUAAUAUUUUGAACCGCAUGGUUCAAAAGUGAAAGACGGUCUUGCUGUCACUUAUAGAUGGAUCCGCGCUGCAUUAGCUAGUUGGUAAGGUAACGGCUUACCAAGGCAACGAUGCAUAGCCGACCUGAGAGGGUGAUCGGCCACACUGGAACUGAGACACGGUCCAGACUCCUACGGGAGGCAGCAGUAGGGAAUCUUCCGCAAUGGGCGAAAGCCUGACGGAGCAACGCCGCGUGAGUGAUGAAGGUCUUCGGAUCGUAAAACUCUGUUAUUAGGGAAGGACAUAUGUGUAAGUAACUGUGCACAUCUUGACGGUACCUAAUCAGAAAGCCACGGCUAACUACGUG
RNAcentral lists this ribosomal RNA (497 nucleotides) under uncultured bacterium. RNAcentral describes it as "partial 16S ribosomal RNA". It matches the Rfam family "Bacterial small subunit ribosomal RNA", at positions 28 to 507 of the family's 1533-position model. The record is from RNAcentral.